RNAcentral lists this ribosomal RNA (239 nucleotides) under uncultured Lactobacillus sp. RNAcentral's name for it is "partial 16S ribosomal RNA". It matches the Rfam family "Bacterial small subunit ribosomal RNA", at positions 125 to 354 of the family's 1533-position model. The record is from RNAcentral. Lineage: Bacteria; Bacillati; Bacillota; Bacilli; Lactobacillales; Lactobacillaceae.
CCGUAGCCCAAGAGAUCGGGAUAACACCUGGAAACAGAUGCUAAUACCGGAUAACAACAGAUGAUGCCUAUCAACUGUUUAAAAGAUGGUUCUGCUAUCACUCUUGGAUGGACCUGCGGUGCAUUAGCUAGUUGGUAGGGUAACGGCCUGCCAAGGCGAUGAUGCAUAGCCGAGUUGAGAGACUGAUCGGCCACAUUGGGACUGAGACACGGCCCAAACUCCUACGGGAGGCAGCAGGU